RNAcentral lists this ribosomal RNA (498 nucleotides) under uncultured bacterium. RNAcentral's name for it is "partial 16S ribosomal RNA". It matches the Rfam family "Bacterial small subunit ribosomal RNA", at positions 30 to 523 of the family's 1533-position model. The record is from RNAcentral.
AUUGAACGCUGGCGGCAUGCUUUACACAUGCAAGUUGAACGGCAGCGCGGGGCAACCUGGCGGCGAGUGGCGAACGGGUGAGUAAUACAUCGGAACGUACCCAGAAGUGGGGGAUAACGUAGCGAAAGUUACGCUAAUACCGCAUACGUUCUACGGAAGAAAGUGGGGGACCUUCGGGCCUCAUGCUUUUGGAGCGGCCGGUGUCUGGUUAGCUAGUUGGGGAGGUAAAGGCUCACCAAGGCGACGAUCAGUGGCUGGUCUGAGAGGACGACCAGCCACACUGGGACGGAGACACGGCCCAGACUCCUACGGGAGGCAGCAGUGGGGAAUUUUGGACAAUGGGCGCAAGCCUGAUCCAGCAAUGCCGCGUGAGUGAAGAAGGCCUUCGGGUUGUAAAGCUCUUUUGUCAGGGAAGAAACGGCUGGGGUUAAUACCUUCGGCUAAUGACGGUACCUGAAGAAUAAGCACCGGCUAACUACGUGCCAGCCGCCGCAGUAA